AGUGAACGCUGGCGGUAGGCCUAACACAUGCAAGUCGAACGGCAGCACAGUAAGAGCUUGCUCUUACGGGUGGCGAGUGGCGGACGGGUGAGGAAUACAUCGGAAUCUACUUUUUCGUGGGGGAUAACGUAGGGAAACUUACGCUAAUACCGCAUACUACCUACGGGUGAAAGCAGGGGAUCUUCGGAACUUGCGCGAUUGAAUGAGCCGAUGUCGGAUUAGCUAGUUGGCGGGGUAAAGGCCCACCAAGGCGACGAUCCGUAGCUGGUCUGAGAGGAUGAUCAGCCACACUGGAACUGAGACACGGUCCAGACUCCUACGGGAGGCAGCAGUGGGGAAUAUUGGACAAUGGGCGCAAGCCUGAUCCAGCCAUACCGCGUGGGUGAAGAAGGCCUUCGGGUUGUAAAGCCCUUUUGUUGGGAAAGAAAAGCAGCGGGUUAAUACCCCGCUGUUCUGACGGUACCCAAAGAAUAAGCACCGGCUAACUUCGUG
Molecule: ribosomal RNA, 492 nt
Filed under: uncultured bacterium
Lineage: Bacteria
Description: partial 16S ribosomal RNA
Rfam family: Bacterial small subunit ribosomal RNA
Source: RNAcentral